GAAAUGCGAUAAUUAAUGUGAAUUGCAGAAUUCAGCGAAUCAUCGAGUCUUUGAACGCACAUUGCGCCCCCUGGUAUUCCGGGGGGCAUGCCUGUCCGAGCGUCAUUGCUGCCCUCAAGCACGGCUUGUGUGUUGGGCUUCCGUCCCUGGCAACGGGGACGGGCCCAAAAGGCAGUGGCGGCACCAUGUCUGGUCCUCGAGCGUAUGGGGCUUUGUCACCCGCUCCCGUAGGUCCAGCUGGCAGCUAGCCUCGCAACCAAUCUUUUUAACCAGGUUGACCUCGGAUCAGGUAGGGAUACCCGCUGAACUUAAGC
Molecule: unclassified non-coding RNA, 314 nt
Filed under: plant metagenome
Description: partial contains 5.8S ribosomal RNA, internal transcribed spacer 2, and large subunit ribosomal RNA
Rfam family: 5.8S ribosomal RNA (bases 1-105)
Source: RNAcentral